CAGCUGAUCGAGGUCUUCAGGAUCACCACACACUUCAGACAGGUGUGUGGACAGACCGGAGAUAAACUCUGCAGGAUGCUGGUCCUCCAGGACAUCACUGUUUUUGUGUCAGAUGCAGAUAAAGAGUCACUAGGAACAGGUCACUGCAUCUUUUGUCAUGUAGAUGCUGGAAUAAAAAGCAGCCAGGCUACAGCAUCUAAAAUGGAGACUUCUAUUAACGUGGCUCUGUAACAUAAGAGUCUUGAGACGGUGGAAGGAGCAGAAGAUCAGAGAUCAGGCAGAGCUCUACUGGUGCC
Molecule: long non-coding RNA, 296 nt
Organism: Carassius carassius (crucian carp)
Lineage: Eukaryota; Metazoa; Chordata; Actinopteri; Cypriniformes; Cyprinidae
Exons: 3
Source: RefSeq, a predicted model, not a curated record